This 70-nucleotide transfer RNA is filed under the name Capra hircus (goat). It matches the Rfam family "tRNA". From Rfam's summary of the family: Transfer RNA (tRNA) molecules are approximately 80 nucleotides in length. Their secondary structure includes four short double-helical elements and three loops (D, anti-codon, and T loops). Further hydrogen bonds mediate the characteristic L-shaped molecular structure. tRNAs have two regions of fundamental functional importance: the anti-codon, which is responsible for specific mRNA codon recognition, and the 3' end, to which the tRNAs corresponding amino acid is attached (by aminoacyl-tRNA synthetases). tRNAs cope with the degeneracy of the genetic code in two manners: having more than one tRNA (with a specific anti-codon) for a particular amino acid; and 'wobble' base-pairing, i.e. permitting non-standard base-pairing at the 3rd anti-codon position. Lineage: Eukaryota; Metazoa; Chordata; Mammalia; Artiodactyla; Bovidae. The record is from Rfam by way of RNAcentral. RNAcentral also lists the same sequence under 1 other name.
UCCCUCAUAGCUUAGUCGGUAAGAAUUUGCCUGCAAUGCAGGAAACCCAGGUUCAAUUCCUGGGUUGGAA